AGGACUUUAGAUUAUAUAAAUCGAGAACCUUCAAAGUUCUAGAUAGGAGAUGCCUCCUAGGCCCUG
Molecule: transfer RNA, 66 nt
Filed under: Notocrater youngi
Lineage: Eukaryota; Metazoa; Mollusca; Gastropoda; Lepetellida; Pseudococculinidae
Description: tRNA-Trp
Source: RNAcentral